GGAAGUAAAAGUCGUAACAUGGUUUCCGUAGGUGAACCUGCGGAAGGAUCAUUAUCGUACAAAAUGUGAGGGGCAUGCGAGGGCUGUCGCUGACCAAAAAGUCGUGCACGCCCGAGUGUGUCCUCUUGCAUAAUAAUCCAUCUCACCCUUUGUGCAUCACCGCGUGGGCACCCUUCGGGAUCAUCUCGGAGGGGGGCUCGCGUUUUCACACAAACCCCCCUUUUAAAAGUGUAGAAUGACCACAUUUAUGCAAUCAAUACAACUUUCAACAACGGAUCUCUUGGCUCUC
RNAcentral lists this unclassified non-coding RNA (289 nucleotides) under plant metagenome. RNAcentral's name for it is "partial contains small subunit ribosomal RNA, internal transcribed spacer 1, and 5.8S ribosomal RNA". The stretch from base 1 to 54 matches the Rfam family "Eukaryotic small subunit ribosomal RNA", at positions 1778 to 1831 of the family's 1831-position model. The record is from RNAcentral.